UCCCAUCAUCCGUGCUGCAAUGAAUAUGGAUGGGGUGGCAAGGAUUGGUGGUUGCAGCCGUGAAGAAGCAUCUGGAAAAGUUGAUGAGAGUUGUCCAUCUGCAGUUGCUGCAGCUGUGGAAAAAAUUAGAAGAAACAACCACAAAAUAAGAAGUUUGAGAGAUGAAAUUGCUGCGGUUAGGCAGAAACUAAGUGAUCUAAGAAAUACUCGAAAGUACAAAAGGUAUCGUUCUGGUCAUGAAGCUGGUGUUGCUGUUGAGGGUGAGGGGAAUGAAUUUGCUACAGGUGAUGCACAUGAACAAGCUGCAGUUGAAGAACU
This 318-nucleotide long non-coding RNA is filed under the name Vigna radiata. RNAcentral's name for it is "long non-coding RNA (VRAD_LNC002250)". Lineage: Eukaryota; Viridiplantae; Streptophyta; Magnoliopsida; Fabales; Fabaceae. The record is from RNAcentral.